GAAUGCCGCGGUGAAUACGUUCCCGGGUCUUGUACACACCGCCCGUCACACCAUGGGAGUCGGAAAUGCCCGAAGUCUGUGACCCAACCUACGGGAGGGAGCAGCCGAAGGCAGGUCGGAUGACUGGGGUGAAGUCGUAACAAGGUACC
Molecule: ribosomal RNA, 149 nt
Filed under: uncultured bacterium
Lineage: Bacteria
Description: partial 16S ribosomal RNA
Rfam family: Bacterial small subunit ribosomal RNA
Source: RNAcentral